This 484-nucleotide ribosomal RNA is filed under the name uncultured bacterium. RNAcentral describes it as "partial 16S ribosomal RNA". It matches the Rfam family "Bacterial small subunit ribosomal RNA", at positions 30 to 507 of the family's 1533-position model. The record is from RNAcentral.
AUUGAACGCUGGCGGCAGGCCUAACACAUGCAAGUCGAGCGGAUGAAGGGAGCUUGCUCCUGGAUUCAGCGGCGGACGGGCGAGUAAUGCCUAGGAAUCUGCCUGGUAGUGGGGGAUAACGUCCGGAAACGGGCGCUAAUACCGCAUACGUCCUGAGGGAGAAAGGGGGGGAUCUUCGGACCUCACGCUAUCAGAUGAGCCUAGGUCGGAUUAGCUAGUUGGUGGGGUAAAGGCCUACCAAGGCGACGAUCCGUAACUGGUCUGAGAGGAUGAUCAGUCACACUGGAACUGAGACACGGUCCAGACUCCUACGGGAGGCAGCAGUGGGGAAUAUUGGACAAUGGGCGAAAGCCUGAUCCAGCCAUGCCGCGUGUGUGAAGAAGGUCUUCGGAUUGUAAAGCACUUUUAGUUGGGAGGAAGAGCAGUAAGUUAAUACCUUGCUGUUUUGACGGUACCAACAGAAUAAGCACCGGCUAACUUCGUG